UCCGUAGGUGAACCUGCGGAAGGAUCAUUACCACAAAUCUACUUUACUUUACCGUGAACAACUUUGAAAAACGAGUUACCUUUUUUCGAAGAGGUAGCGCACCUUUUCAUUAAUCACAAUUUCAUAUAACUUUCUUUCCAAAGAAAACUUUAUGACUUUUAGCGAUGGAUGUCUAGGUUCUCGCAACGAUGAAGAACGCAGCGAAAUGCGAUACGUAAUGCGAAUUGCAGAAUCCGUGAAUCAUCAAAUCUUUGAACGCACAUUGCACUUCCGGUUGCCCGGAAGUAUUUCUGUUUGAGUGUCUGUUCUUCCCUCUCAGUGUAUUCUGGAUUGUGGACGUCUACGUUUUUGCUAACGUUCGUCUGAAAUGAAUGAGCAAAGUGUCUCUUCUACACCUUUGUACCGACGAUAUUAUCGAAAGGUACAUGUUGGUCAAGAAGAAGCCUACAAUUAAUUUUGACCUCAAAUCAGGAAAGAAGACCCCCUGAAUUUAAGCAUAUAAUUAAGGGGAGGAAAAGAAACUAACCAGGAUUCCCCUAGUAACGGCGAGUGAAGCGGGAUAAGCUCAAACUGAAAAUCUAGGCGCUUUGUGUGCCUCGAAUUGUAGUUUCGAGAAGUGUAACCAGCUGUUGACUGCUCUUAAAAUCUCUUGGAACAGGGUAUCAUAGAGGGUGAGAAUCCCGUUUAUGAGGGCAAGUUCAAUUGCGUACGGUUUACUUUCAACGAGUCGAGUUGCUUGGGACUGCAGCUCAAAGUAGGAGGUAAAUUCCUUCUAAAGCUAAAUAUUGGCGAGAGACCGAUAGCGAACAAAUACCGUGAGGGAAAGAUGCAAAGCACUUUGAAAAGAGAGUGAAAGAGUACCUGAAAUCGCUAAAAGGGAAACGCUUGAAGU
This 892-nucleotide ribosomal RNA is filed under the name uncultured fungus. Its description in RNAcentral is "eukaryotic LSU rRNA". The stretch from base 458 to 892 matches the Rfam family "Eukaryotic large subunit ribosomal RNA", at positions 1 to 429 of the family's 3401-position model. Lineage: Eukaryota; Fungi. The record is from RNAcentral.